Molecule: ribosomal RNA, 253 nt
Filed under: uncultured bacterium
Lineage: Bacteria
Description: partial 16S ribosomal RNA
Rfam family: Bacterial small subunit ribosomal RNA
Source: RNAcentral
UACGUAGGUGGCGAGCGUUGUCCGGAUUUACUGGGCGUAAAGAGCGCGCAGGCGGCUGGUCAAGUCCGAUGUGAAAGCUCCCGGCUUAACUGGGAAAUUGCAUCGGAAACUGAUCGGCUGGAAGGUGGGAGAGGGUAGCGGAAUUCCCGGUGUAGUGGUGAAAUGCGUAGAGAUCGGAAAGAACACCAACGGCGAAAGCACUCUGCUGGGCCGACACUGACACUGAGAGACGAAAGCUAGGGGAGCGAAUGGG